RNAcentral lists this ribosomal RNA (253 nucleotides) under uncultured bacterium. Its description in RNAcentral is "partial 16S ribosomal RNA". It matches the Rfam family "Bacterial small subunit ribosomal RNA", at positions 524 to 776 of the family's 1533-position model. The record is from RNAcentral.
UACGUAGGCAGCAAGCGUUGUUCGGAGUUACUGGGCGUAAAGGGUGUGUAGGCGGCCUGUUAAGUUCCGUGUGAAAUCUCCCGGCUCAACCGGGAGGGUGCGCGGAAAACUGGCGGGCUAGAGUGCGGGAUGGGAGAGUAGAAUUCCUGGUGUAGCGGUGAAAUGCGUAGAUAUCAGGAGGAAUACCGGUGGUGUAGACGGCUCUCUGGACCACAACUGACGCUGAAACACGAAAGCGUGGGUAGCAAACAGG